This 301-nucleotide ribosomal RNA is filed under the name uncultured bacterium. RNAcentral describes it as "partial 16S ribosomal RNA". It matches the Rfam family "Bacterial small subunit ribosomal RNA", at positions 509 to 807 of the family's 1533-position model. The record is from RNAcentral.
CAGCAGCCGCGGUAACACCGAGGGUGCAAGCGUUAAUCGGAAUUACUGGGCGUAAAGCGCGCGUAGGUGGUUUGUUAAGUUGGAUGUGAAAUCCCCGGGCUCAACCUGGGAACUGCAUCCAAAACUGGCAAGCUAGAGUAUGGUAGAGGGUGGUGGAAUUUCCUGUGUAGCGGUGAAAUGCGUAGAUAUAGGAAGGAACACCAGUGGCGAAGGCGACCACCUGGACUGAUACUGACACUGAGGUGCGAAAGCGUGGGGAGCAAACAGGAUUAGAUACCCGCGUAGUCCCUGUCUCUUAUAC